UAAGCGGAGGAAAAGAAACUAACAAGGAUUCCCCUAGUAACUGCGAGUGAAGCGGGAAAAGCUCAAAUUUAAAAUCUGGCGGUCUUAGGCCGUCCGAGUUGUAAUUUAGAGAAGCGUCUUCCGCGCCGGACCCGUGCACAAGUCUCCUGGAAUGGAGCGUCAUAGAGGGUGAGAAUCCCGUCUUUGGCACGGAUGCCUGGUGCUUCUGUGAUGCGCUCUCGAAGAGUCGAGUUGUUUGGGAAUGCAGCUCAAAAUGGGUGGUGAACUCCAUCUAAAGCUAAAUAUUGGCGAGAGACCGAUAGCGAACAAGUACCGUGAGGGAAAGAUGAAAAGCACUUUGGAAAGAGAGUGAAACAGUACGUGAAAUUGUUGAAAGGGAAACGCUUGAAGUCAGUCGCGUCGACCGAGACUCAGCCUUGCCUCGGCUUGGUGUACUUCUCGGCCCGACGGGUCAGCGUCAAUUUUGCCCCUCGGAUAAUGGCAAGGGAAAGGUGGCACCUUUACGGGUGUGUUAUAGUCUCCUGUCGCAUGCGAGGGGUGGGAUUGAGGAACUCAGCGCGCACCUUGGUGUCGGGGCUUCGGCCCACGUCACGCGCUUAGGAUGCUGGCGUAAUGGCUUUAAACGACC
RNAcentral lists this ribosomal RNA (628 nucleotides) under uncultured Russulaceae. RNAcentral's name for it is "LSU rRNA". It matches the Rfam family "Eukaryotic large subunit ribosomal RNA", at positions 47 to 649 of the family's 3401-position model. The record is from RNAcentral. Lineage: Eukaryota; Fungi; Basidiomycota; Agaricomycetes; Russulales; Russulaceae.